GCUUGGGAUAUAUAUAUGUGAAGAAAGAAUACUUCUUAUAUCAUUCAUCCUCUGACCCAUCCUCCCAUUAACUUCGUCAAGUAUACGUACAACAUAACAUCAUGGAGACUAGUAGUAGGUAACAAAACUCAAACAAAUGAAUCAGGAAUGACGAUAACACCAAGGAAGCACAAUAGCAAAGGAGAACUUGAAUUUGACAUCGGCACAUGCUUCCAACCACCGGAGUCGACUGUGUCGUUGAAACAUGAUCGUAUCGCUUAAAAAGAAAUUGCAUUAAAGAGAGGUAUUGACGAAAAAUUCACCGAAUGAAGAAAAUUCAUGAGAUGUUAUAUGGAAAGGCGGUUAGGACGAUUUGUCCGUCGCGAAAGGAACUGCGCUGUGUAUAAAUACGGCACAGUGAUUUGAACCACUAGGAAAUCAGCGUGGUUGGGGGUGGGGUUGACGGUACAGGGUGGACCAUCUUUUCCAUCUCCUUUUCGAUGUUAGCGAACAGCGCCUGCAAUUCGGCAUCUGCAUAUAUCUUAAUUGACUCUACCUCCCGGCGGUUAACAAAUGGUGGAGUCCCCGCCCUUGGAGGACUCGGGGGGCUUCGGAAAGGUGUCAGGUCAUCUGCUAGAGCCUCGCCUUCACACUGUGGGGUCCAUAGCGUCAUUGUGCCGGCCAUGUGCUCAAGCAACUUCUGUCGAAUACGAAUCCUUCUAUUUUCAGCAAGGUCCAGCUUGUAGGCCCAUUCGUCAAUGGACUGGUCAAGUUCGGAGAGGGCUUCUUCUUGCUUCAGGAUGCCUUCCCUUGAGAAUUUGGAGACCCGGGGUGACUUGAGGUACGAGAUCAUUCGUGUGUGCAGCCCUCGACGUCCGGAUCGCAAAGACUUGUAGGUUUUGCGGAGAUAAUCGCACCUUUUAUCGAGCGCUCGCAAUUCCUUAUCCAACCUCAGUAACUUGAAAUAAAUACAGGGACAAAGCUCCAAUAUUGCAAAAUCAAAGAAAACUUACCCUAGAAAGUGAUCUGACUUCUGCGUACUUGAGUAUCUCAAAACGUUUGGCCUGUUCCCACGCUUGGAUUUUCACCCUCUCGAUUUCAUCCUGUGGAAGCAAUUUCGAGGCAGUGUGCGCUGGGAUCCCGGCCGGUAGGAUCAGGAAUGGAUGGUCUGAAGGUUCCUUAUUGGGCUUAGGUACCUCGGCACUCUGUACUGGAGAUUUAUUCCUUGGGGGUGUCUCUGUGAUUGAAUUUUGAGAGAAGUCUGGCUUGUUACCUAGCGGCAUUGAACCCUUCCUUUGCAGCAUGGGCGGUGGUGUGAUUGCGCUGCGAUACGUUUGGCAUACUGCGACACUUCUGUUCCUCGAAUGGCUGCGAGUGCCUCUACCUUCCAGUGGGGACGGCGAACCCGAUGGGGCUGCGGAUAGUCCCAAGUCAAAUGAUCCCGACUGUGUUUCAGCGUUCCUGUCGUGUAAGGGAAAUAUGAAGCUCUGUGCCGAACACUUCUCAGCUGAGAUACUGCUCGUUGGAGCAGCCAACGUUGUAACAGAGGAGUUUGAGCUGGCACUGGAAAAACUGAUCGUUGGCUGGGUAGUUGGGAUUCGGAGACCAAGUCUAGGCGAUUUUGGUGGUACUUCGGGUGGCUGGUCAUUUUCCAGUUUGUUUUGUUCCAGACCUGCAAUGGGCAAAUUACUUUUGGAAGAUCCAACCACGUUUGCAGCAAAUUGAUAUGUUUCCAGCGUAUCAGGAAGCAGUAUUGAGGAUGCCCUUUUUAUUGACUUAUGUCUAUCGUCUUCCAUGGGUGAAGGACCAAGCACGUUUCCAAAUGACUCCCUCGACAAACUUGGUGGCUCGCCAACUGGAUCAAGGGCAGAAUCUUGACACGUUGGUUGGCUCGACGAUACUCCAGGCGCGCUAUUUGACCGCUCAUGAGUAGGAAAUUUACCUGGUAUUGUUGCUAUAGGAAAGUUAGCGGUAACGACUGCAAUUAGGGAUAUUAGAGGCACACUUACGCGAAUCUAUGUUCUUUUCCUGGACGGUCGUCAUAGGCCCUAAUUCUGGAACACUAAUUUUACGACGCCGACAAAGCGUUCCACGCUCCUUAAACUGGUUCUUCAGAUCGCUCAGAUCUGGCGUGCAUCGUCCAGAUGCCAUCCCUGGCUUCUUCCAGAUGGGCCAGAGCUGGUACCUUUGGCGUUCAAUGGGUGUUUGCCUGUCUGAUACUCCAACAUUCAAGCUACAGGGAGUCUUCUCACUGGGCUGCUAGUUGGGUCAGUGGCGGUUAAGAUUCCUCUGAAAUAUAGUGAGCAGUUCUUGAAUAACUCACAACCGGGGAGCAACAGUUUCUGGCGAUGCCAACAUGUGCGACAAGUUCCUGGACCUUCUGUUCAACCGCAAGCAUCAUUAUUUCUCUCAGAUGUUAUGAAAGCAAAUUGGCAUUGGUCUCGGCUCUUGCGAUUGGGAUAGAGGCCUGGUUUCUCUCCUUCUGGUAGGCUCGUUUUCGGGACCUAUAAAUGUCGAUGGCAACGAAUUCAGGGAAUAAUAUAUGUCCCUUCGUUACGGGAUAGAGCUGCUCUUAUCGGCAUCUAAAACGCCAUCCUUGAGCCCCAGCACCGAGUAAACCUGCCUGAGUUGUGGGUAUUCUCUAACUUCAUGAUCGGGACAAAAUGACUCUAGUCCACCAUACUAGUAAGGAUCCGGGGUUGAGCCGUGAAUAUGCUGCAACCCAUGAAACGACAUCCAUGUCUGUAAGAUGGAUAAACUUUAUUCGAGUCCAAAUUGUGGGGUCGAAGUACCUGGCCAUGUACUCUCUGUGUACUUGGGCUGAGGUAUCAUGAGGCUAAGUUAGAAGAAACCAGGAAGGGCACCUCCCUGCAUCCUUUGAUUCUCGGCUCCCCUCAAUCAUAUCCAAAUCGUCAAUCGACUGUAGCUCAAUUCAGCCAAUAUAUAUUAGUUAUCAUGUUAAAGUAGGCAAAAGUGUCAGCGUUGAUAAGUUUCUUACGCCAACGUCAAACUAAACAAGUAUUGACCCACCAACCUAAGACGACGACCAAUUUUGUGGCUCAUUCCCCAAUGGCCCGUUCUCCCUGAGGCUAGAAGACUCCCCAAACCCUUUAUCCAUUCUUUGGCUGUUGCUAGUUCUACUACCCUCAGGUGAAAGUCAAACCAAAUUCUCUGACGCCGCAAAACAGUCAAUCCAUCCAUAUGAUUUUGGAUUCUAGAAAUUCGGUGAAUCAAUCAGAGGUCCCAGCAUAAAACUGGUUGCGACUGAAGUUUGCUUCCUGGAAACUCAUUUGAAAUUCUAGUAAGCCUGGCAAGCUAGUUGGUAGUUAGUUCGAUCACAUUCCUCUCAGCCUCACACUCACGCCUAUGGGCGUUGCGGCAAAAUCACCGCCGUAUAUGAUGACACAGGAAUGCUGAAACGGGAAAAACUGAUUGGACAAGUGAAAUAUCUGCUGGAGAUUAUCGGAGAUAGUAAAAUUGCUAGGAAGGAAGACCCCAACCAAGCCAGGCGUCGUUGGAUGAUAAAGCACAACAAGAAUGCAAGAUGCGCUAACACUCAAAUCUGAUGGUUAUAUGGCCCAAUGCGAAUGAUAUGGGGCGCAUGGGAGUAAAUGGCUCAGGAUGCUUUACAACAGCGUGUCUUGCUCGAACGCGAAGGUCCACCAGUUCACGGUCUCUUGAAGCAAAUGCUGG
RNAcentral lists this small RNA (3672 nucleotides) under Histoplasma capsulatum. RNAcentral's name for it is "hypothetical RNA". The record is from RNAcentral. RNAcentral also lists the same sequence under 1 other name. Lineage: Eukaryota; Fungi; Ascomycota; Eurotiomycetes; Onygenales; Ajellomycetaceae.